GAUGAACGCUAGCGAUAGGCUUAACACAUGCAAGUCGAGGGGCAGCACAAGGUAGCUUGCUCUCUGGGUGGCGACCGGCGCACGGGUGCGUAACGCGUAUGCAACUUGCCCUAUACAGGAGGAUAACCCGUCGAAAGACGGACUAAUACUGCGUAUGCUCACAACUUGGCAUCAAGUGGUGAGGAAAGAAAUUCGGUAUAGGAUAGGCAUGCGUCCCAUUAGCUUGUUGGUGAGGUAACGGCUCACCAAGGCAACGAUGGGUAGGGGAACUGAGAGGUUUAUCCCCCACACUGGUACUGAGACACGGACCAGACUCCUACGGGAGGCAGCAGUGAGGAAUAUUGGUCAAUGGGCGCGAGCCUGAACCAGCCAAGUCGCGUGAAGGAUGACUGUCUUAUGGAUUGUAAACUUCUUUUAUACGGGAAUAACAAGAGUCACGUGUGACUCCCUGCAUGUACCGUAUGAAUAAGCAUCGGCUAACACCGUG
Molecule: ribosomal RNA, 487 nt
Filed under: uncultured bacterium
Lineage: Bacteria
Description: partial 16S ribosomal RNA
Rfam family: Bacterial small subunit ribosomal RNA
Source: RNAcentral